Molecule: transfer RNA, 66 nt
Filed under: Gangesia oligonchis
Lineage: Eukaryota; Metazoa; Platyhelminthes; Cestoda; Proteocephalidea; Proteocephalidae
Description: tRNA-Trp
Source: RNAcentral
ACAAGAUUAAGUUAGUCUAAGACUAAAUGUUUUCAAAACAUUAAGCGGUUUUAUAGCCAUCUUGUG